Delphinapterus leucas (beluga whale) is the source of this 106-nucleotide small nucleolar RNA. The record is from Ensembl. Lineage: Eukaryota; Metazoa; Chordata; Mammalia; Artiodactyla; Monodontidae.
AUUGAUAUAUCAGAAAAUAGUGGAAACGCCUCAUAGAUUAACUGUGUGGUUUCCUUUACUCAUAGAACUACCUGUUAGAUCUGUGGGAAAGAACUACAAGACAGAG